This 1142-nucleotide ribosomal RNA is filed under the name Candidatus Phytoplasma sacchari. RNAcentral describes it as "bacterial SSU rRNA". It matches the Rfam family "Bacterial small subunit ribosomal RNA", at positions 185 to 1339 of the family's 1533-position model. The record is from RNAcentral. Lineage: Bacteria; Bacillati; Mycoplasmatota; Mollicutes; Acholeplasmatales; Acholeplasmataceae.
UUUUUAAGACCUUUUUCGGAAGGUAUGCUUAAAGAGGGGCUUGCGUCACAUUACGUUAGUUGGCAGGGUAAAGGCCUACCAAGACUAUGAUGUGUAGCUGGACUGAGAGGUUGAACAGCCACAUUGGGACUGAGACACGGCCCAAACUCCUACGGGAGGCAGCAGUAGGGAAUUUUCGGCAAUGGAGGAAACUCUGACCGAGCAACGCCGCGUGAACGAUGAAGUAUUUCGGUAUGUAAAGUUCUUUUAUUGAAGAAGAAAAAAUAGUGGAAAAACUAUCUUGACGAUAUUCAAUGAAUAAGCCCCGGCAAACUAUGUGCCAGCAGCCGCGGUAAUACAUAGGGGGCGAGCGUUAUCCGGAAUUAUUGGGCGUAAAGGGUGCGUAGGCGGUUUAAUAAGUCUAUAGUUUAAUUUCAGUGCUUAACACUGUCCCUGCUAUAGAAACUAUUAGACUAGAGUGAGAUAGAGGCAAGUGGAAUUCCAUGUGUAGCGGUAAAAUGCGUAAAUAUAUGGAGGAACACCAGAGGCGUAGGCGGCUUGCUGGGUCUUUACUGACGCUGAGGCACGAAAGCGUGGGGAGCAAACAGGAUUAGAUACCCUGGUAGUCCACGCCGUAAAACGAUGAGUACUAAGUGUCGGGAUUACUCGGUACUGAAGUUAACACAUUAAGUACUCCGCCUGAGUAGUACGUACGCAAGUAUGAAACUUAAAGGAAUUGACGGGACUCCGCACAAGCGGUGGAUCAUGUUGUUUAAUUCGAAGAUACACGAAAAACCUUACCAGGUCUUGACAUACUCUGCAAAGCUAUAGCAAUAUAGUGGAGGUUAUCAGGGAUACAGGUGGUGCAUGGUUGUCGUCAGCUCGUGUCGUGAGAUGUUAGGUUAAGUCCUAAAACGAGCGCAACCCUUGUCAUUAGUUGCCAGCAUGUCAUGAUGGGCACUUUAAUGAGACUGCCAAUGAAAAAUUGGAGGAAGGUGAGGAUCACGUCAAAUCAUCAUGCCCCUUAUGAUCUGGGCUACAAACGUGAUACAAUGGCUGUUACAAAGAGUAGCUGAAACGCAAGUUUAUAGCCAAUCUCAUAAAAGCAGUCUCAGUUCGGAGUGAAGUCUGCAACUCGACUUCAUGAAGUUGGAAUCGCUAGU